CAUGGAGAGACCGUCCAAGAUGGCCGAAGCGGAAGGAAACCUUAGCCUACAUACAGCUCUGCGUUUCCCAGCGUGGGUUCUAAGGAAUAUCAAUCUCACUGCGAGAAACCAGGCAAAACCGGGAUUCCCAAACCCUGACAAACCAUAUUUCACGUUGAACCAAGAACCAAAGCCAAAUAUUUAUUGCUUUAAAAAACUGACUUAAAGCCAACGAAGACAUCAUUUAAAAGAUGAAUAGGGAGUGAAUCUUUUCGAACCAAAACCAAGACUUCAGCGUGGCAUCUCAGUGAAAUAAGAGCCUUCGUUCACUCAGUUGAGCCUUGUAUGAGUCCCCACCACAGAGCAGGGGCUGAGGACACAACGGUAGCCAGACAGGCGCGGUCCCUGCCCUCCCGGAGCUCAGACUCUGGUAGGGGGACUCUAGAGAAGAAAGCAGGUGCUUCUGAGUCAGGCCAAGAAGGGCUCCGAGGGGGUAGGACAGGUGUCCUUGAUCCUGAGAGGGGCCUCCUGUUCCCGGGCAGAGUGAUAUGAGGCUCAGCCAGGAGACUGAGUCAGAGGCAGCCCACAGGGCGAAGGGAGGCAUGGUUAAGAUUGCUGUAGACGGAGAGCAGUACACGCAAAGGACCCGGGGUGAUGGUGCAGGGGCAGCUGAGAGGUGAGCACAGCACAGACCACCGAGGCGCUAGAGGAUGUCCCAGAGAGCCGGGCCUCUGCCCUGACAGUGCCGGGGAGCCAGCAAAGGCACUAGGCAGAGGCAUGACCAGAUCGCAGUCCCACUUGGUAUCGAUUUACUCUCCCGAACGAACUUGCACGGAAACGUGUCGUUCAAGCGUGACGAGCCCCGAUUCCCACAGGGCUGUUCGGGCAGGAGGAAGGCCCAGCCCCAUAAUGAAUCCGUGGGUCUGGGCAGAGGCUGCAGACCCAGAGGGGAGUCUCGCGUGCCGAGGGCAGCUGGGCUCUGAAGGCCAGCACCCUCUGAGCAGCCCCCCGAGCUUCUGCCUCUGCAGAGAUCCCCCUCCGCAGGGGUGGGAGGGGCCGCUUGAUCUGGGAGCCAGCAGCGCUGUUGGUUACACAGCCGCCAGGAGAGAGCAUGUGCCGCUUGGGAACGUCACACACGUGCCGACGAAGAAAUCAAAGCGAGUCAAGGCGGCUUCCAAGAGCCCACCCCUCGUCCAACAAGGAAAAGGAAUCCUUUGCGUGGCUCAGAAAUCAAACUUCUGGAGGAAAUGCAAGCGGGAGAGGGAAAGAGGCAAGGUUGCUUCGGUGGAUGGGCAGGUGCCCGGAGAGGGAAGGUGGGGGGGUUGCAGGGGCAGCUGCUCAAAAGGGAAUUUGGGGAAGCACCGUCCUACUGGAUGAGUCUCCCCUUGCGUCAACUUGUGCGACCCCAACAAACUCUCGGAUGCGUCUUUCUCAACGCGUCUGGAGUCUAACGUGUUCUUGCGUGCUCCCCGUGGGCCGGUGUGCAGGCAAGGGGCUCACGGGGGUCCGGCUACGUUGGAGUUACGUGGACAUUUCUCCUUCGGUCCUCACAAUAAGCCUUUGAAGUAAGUCUUGUCAGCCCCACAGCCCAGAGAGGGUGGGAAAUCGGCUGCGGUUGCCCCGCUGGAGGUCUGGACGGACACCCAGCAAGACGGAUGGAGGGAAACAGCUUGUCGACUGAGGGAUAAAUGCAGCUGUCCGUAAACAAGACCCGUGUGAGCAGCUGUGGGGAUGAGGACACCACUGGGGACGGCUCUGUUGGCUUCCCGGCCGGAGGGCAGGAGAGGUGGUACUGGAAGGCAGCCGAGGCCUCAUGGCCCAGAAGGGAUGAGAGCGAGUCAGAAGGAGCCGAGGGGGCUUCCCGGGCCCACCCCUGGAAUCACGAGCUCAGGCCCUGGGGGAGGCCUCCCAGCCUGGCGACAGACCCUCCCAGGAACCCACGACCCCAGAGCUGCCCUCAGCCCCCAAAGCCGAGGGCUUCCCUCUCCUGACAGGCUGGUGGCUCCGUGGGACGAAACCAGAGCCAGCCUUUGGGACCUUUCUGGGACACACUGGGACCUUUCUCCCACGACUGGUCUCUGAGCCGAGGAAACCAGAUGUCAGCCGGGAAGGAACGCACCAGGGUCCGGCCUGGCUUUCCCCAGGGCAGUGAGUGUCUUGCACUGGGCGCUGUGACUCGCCUGCCUUUCCUUGUGCGGAGGCUGACGGACUCUGACUUGGGGAGACAGCCCCCCACCCCGCGAGAUCCUGCCUCGGCGGGGCUGUCAGUCAAGGGUGGCCAGGUGACCUGAGCCGGGGCCCUCGGAACUUUCUCCCCGGAUUUGGGAGCCCAGGGCACAGUUCCCACUCUGCUAUCCCCUCUGCAAGGCGCCUGGUAUCCUUCCAGAACAUUCCUUCUCUGCUUA
Long non-coding RNA from Felis catus (domestic cat), 2384 nucleotides. RefSeq lists it as uncharacterized. Lineage: Eukaryota; Metazoa; Chordata; Mammalia; Carnivora; Felidae. The transcript is spliced from 2 exons. The record is from RefSeq and is a predicted model, not a curated record.